GUUCCCUGCAGCCCCACAUUGGUCCCAUCCCCGACCGACUCCAAACCGCACCAGCCGCCAGCCGCCAGCCGCCUCCUGCCUACCGCCGGCCGCCGCGCCCUUCCCCGGCAGGCUGCCAACUCUAGCCGCCCUUCCUUCCAGUGGCUGCGCGCCUGCGCCCUCUGCUUCCGCGCCGGUGCCGGCCACCGCGCCCAGUCGCCACCCGCCAGCGGCCAGCGGCCAGCUGCAGCAGUCUCCUCGGCGGCCGGCGGUGUGCAGGCGUGCACCCUGGCCCAGGGGCCUGGAGACGUGCAGCAUAGAAGGCUAGCAGCUAGGGGCUGAGAAGCUGUACAUAGCCGAAGAAAUAUGACUCCAGAGGAAGCUGAAAAGGUGUGCCGUAUAUCUUCGUUUAUGUAUGCAUGGAUGCGAGAGCAUGCCUGGAAGGGAUUCGUCUUUAUGCGGUCUGGUCGCGACUACCUGUUAUCAUGGUCAGCGACAGCGAUUUUACCUCUGUUAUUCAGGCCUUAGCAGGCAAUGAGCAUUGCAUUUCUAGAUUGGGUGCCAUAUUCAGUGAAAUUCAGAGAGAGGCUGAAACAUUAACUGGCUGCAAGUUUGUGUUAGCCAAAAGAGAGCAAAUCGAGCAGUUCAGGAGACAGCGGCCUUUGUCCGCCAAACAGGAGUCAUUGGUAUUUGGGAGUCUGUUUUACCAGAGAUAAUAGCCCAUGAAAUUGACACUGAUUAUAAUGGCCAAUUUCAAAUGAACACAUAAACUCUGUUUUCCCGGACAUAAUAGCCUCAUGAAAAUGACACUGAUUGUAGUUCCCAUGAAAGUGUGGUGUGAGCCUGUUCUUGCAAAAACAAAGUAACCCUUCUUCAGGUAAUGGCAAAAGCAUUAUUUUAGUCCCAUGCAUGCUUCAUUUUGAACAAUUACUGCUACAUAAUUAGACAUGAUUUGUAAGCCCUGGCAACUCUAAUGUUGCCAAUUUCAAAGUGGGAGAUAUGUUUCUUCCUUAAUAUACAUAUACUACUCACUGACACUAGGUAUUUUUUUAUUUGUCUAUUUUAAAUUGCCUUCACUCUGUUCUAUCCUUUGGGGCCUUUGUAGUUAUUUUCCCUUCCUUUUGUGAUUGGAACUAUUGUAAAAUUAGGAUUACUCUCUGGAGCAGGACCGCUUUGCGAUUCAACGGACAUACCUUAAACUUUCUAGGUCGGCUAGAGUCGUCUUUGUUGGAAUUGCAGGAGACUGCACUAACCCCUUUGGGUGGUAGCUCAACUAGGGAUUUACCUUAAGCACUCAAUUCACGUAUAGAUCUUGGUUUGCUGCUGAAGCCAUAAUCACUUUCCUGCUAUAGGUUCUAUUUUGUUGCCUGGAUAUGUUGUUUGCACAUAUGGUGUAGCCUGACGGCGUUGUCUGCAUAUCAUUUUUUUUAUAUGCUUGCAGUAAUAUUAGUAAAAAUAUGUGAUAUGUAGGUUCUAGCACAGAGUAAAUAUCUUAUCAUGGCUGUGAUAUUAGUGUGAUCCAUUUUUUAUUUAUGUAAUCGUGAAUAGGAAUAUUAGUUGCUGUGAUAUUAUUUUCUAUGAUUUCUGGAAGAUAUAUAUUUUGCCUAGGUAUGGAAAUAAAUUAUUAUUCCAAAUGACCCACCAAAUGUAUGAUCUCAGCAACUUUUCCUUUAUAUGUCAGUUAAUGUGCUAUUGUACUUUGUUGUGAACAUAAUACUUAUAUCCUUAUAUUUAUGUGUAUAUAUUCUUGGUUAUGGCUGUUUUGUCUCAGGCUAUAGGGAGCCAUCGUUCUUACCAAAACACUCCUUCCCUUCACAAAUAUAAGAUGUUUUUACUUUUUUCUGGAUCGGAUGUAUAUAGACACAUUUUAGUGUGUUUGUUCACCCAUUUCAAUCCAUAUGUACUCCAUAUUAAAAUAUCCAAAACAUGUUAUAUUUGUGAAUGGAGGGAAUAACUUUGAUUAGAAUUGCCCAUGCUUAAUUCGGUGCUAUAAUUUUGGUAAGAAUAUGUUCUUUAGUCUGUUUGAUUUAUGUUUUGAACUAAACUGGACAGCCAAUUUGUGCACAUAGAUUUGGGCACCACUACUAUUUGACUUGGUUUUGGUGCUAUGUUGGGCACAAACCAAACAGGCCAAACCCUCCUAAAUCGAAAUGAAACUUCAGCUUUAGGACCUGUUUGGGAUGGUGAUAUAUUUUUCUGUGGGCAUCGUUGUUUUUUGAAUGGUGGUAUUUUUCCAAACAGGCCUUUAUCUGUACAAUUUUACAUGGGUAAUGUGAUUAGUUCGUAGUACUAAUUAGUUACUAUUCCCUCUACACAAAUUUAAACUGCAAAAACGUCUUACAUUUGUUUAUAGAGGGAGUACUUCCUUUGAUAAUUUCGUUCUUUUCAAUUCAAUUAAGGGAAUCUCUUUUUCUUGGUAUGCGUGAAGUAGACAAAGUAAGGGUCCACUUUACCAUUAUGGCAAUCACAUGGCCCUUUUGUACUAAUGUUAAGAUAAGCUAUUUGGUGUUCAAAGGCGUUAAUCAUGCAGCCCUGGAGUGCCCCGGAUAAGGUUCAUUGCCAUUAGAGAAAGCCCCGCUGCACAUGGCUCCUGUUCUUUUUUCUCGAACACACACCAAAGUGCAUGUCAUUUUGUAUUAGAACAUGGCUCCUGCUCUUGCUAGCAGACAGGAAAUUUUGGUGCUUGAUACGGUCGUUAACCUAUAGGUGCAAUCAUCACUGCCAAAAUUGCUGCGAGUUCCAUUCAGAUGAAUCUGAUGCCUGCAUCUCACUAAUUUUUUUCACUGAACCAGGUCAGUAUUUCAGCACCGUGCUCAAUACUCUAAUCCGUACUGCAUUUUGCAAUUAUAGACAUGUGUAUCUCUCAGCCUACUUGCAGUUGGGCAGUCUGCAUACUAAGAUGUGCUCUUGCACCAAAUUAGGUGAGCAUGGUAACACAGGGUUUAUUUACUUAGCUAUCUUUUUUUUUUUUUAGCUUUGGUGUGUUCCACAGCUGGACACGAGUCCAAAUAUUGUUUUACAGCUAGCUACUGUUUGACCCUAACUAAGAGCUGAUAGCGCCAUGUCUGUUGAGUUAGGCCAUGUUUCUCCAGGCAUCUUCUACUUUCAAUAAUUGGCAGGGCCGGCCGGAACAAUAAUCUCUAGUUUGCCUCGUACGUACAGGCCUUUCUAACAUAGGCAACAAAAGCAGGAGACAGAUCUCCGAUUUUCCUUUUGAUACGUGUUGCCGGGAAUCUUGUUGAUUAUUGGAGCCUAGUGGCCUUUUGUGUCUGGAACUUGCCUCUCAGGCCAUCAUCUUAGCCAUCCUUUUCCUUUGCAUCCUAUUAGGGCAGAUUGAGACCACUUGCACACCUCAAACUUCUGCCGGGCCUUUCCUUCCCGAGGGAUCAAAAAGGUUGAUACCGGCUAUUAAUAGAAUAGUAAAAGAUCGGGACAUGGACAUCCCCGGGUGUCGGCAUCACCUAUGGCACAUCACUUCUUUAACGAUCCUUUGGCAUCUGUCAAUCUUGGCCAUAACGUUACACUUCCUAUUGUUUAGAGACUCUGAGAACUGCAUUGCAUCGCACGUACACUCGCUGAUUGUUUAUCUUAGGUGUAUGAAUGCAUUGAUUUUUUUUUCAGAAGGUAAGGUAAAUGCAUUGAAUUUUUUGAGAAGGUAAGGUGAAUGCAUUGUUUGACUUGAAAACAUUAAACCAAUUGAUUGCGUGAGGUGUAGAACACUAGUACUGGAAGAGGCAAGAAGGGAGAGAACAAAAUCUCCAUGCCCAUGGCCCAUGGGGGAUAUGACUUUGUUUCUUGAGGAGGCUGGAGAGGAUACAUCAACUUCAUAGUUUGUUCUUGGACCCAGUACAUACAGAUGACACAUACAUACACACAUGCUUGCUAAGCAUGUCCUUUUGUUUUUCAUGUGUGUCACCAUCCUUCUAUCUCUCUUACUCCCUCUCCUUUUCAACCUGAUGUUUCCUGAAACCUGCCACCUGCUAAGGGCCCCGUACUGCGAUGCGAUCGAGUAGGGUCUCUGGAAGACCAGAAGAAAGAAACAUAGAAAAAAAGGGCACUCUGUGGAUGGAAGGAAGAUUGCCCGGGAAACAAGGGAUCUUCCACUUCCUCUUCCUUUUCCUUCCAAGGGUCAAUUCAAGCCUGUCACUCGGUCCAGAGUAGCCUAGUAGGCUGUCUGGUGGGAGUAGUAACUAGUUUCACUGCUGGUUGUUAGGAUACUCGAGCAUGGCUUCAGACCUCACCAUCUUAUGAACUGGCCCUGUUGUCAAAAAAUAUUGUACUUUAAAUUGAGAAAUUCGGUUAUAUAUAUGUGCUACUGAAUAUCUACAGAUGUGUCUGAAUGCAAUUGAACUUUUGGUGAUGUUUACAGUACUGACCAGUAAGCUGGCACCGUGACCACUGCAGCGUAGGGGCUCUGGUGGGUGUAGUCGUACAUUGGCGUUGCUGCCUCUGCCUCUGGCUCCGGACCGCAGUCGAGGUUGACUCCGAACAGCCGGAGACGUCUCGACGGCGGCCCCGAUGCCGUACUGCUCUUGGCAUUUGCCUCUCUCGGCGAGUCACCUGCAAGAAUUCACCGGAGAAUGGUGUAAGAGAUAUCAUGUCGCUGUGAUCUUGCUCCACGGAGCGGCGAUAGGCGUGGGAGUUGGCAGGGCUGGUAGGGUAUGAUCCUGACGUGCUAUAGCACAUCGGGCUCCAAGGCUGCUGCUCCCCGGCGUUCAGAGCAGGCGGAGAUACGCGGACUGGUGGUGGCAGCGCGCUCUUGCCACGGCGCCUGCAGCAGAUGAAGAGACGGUCGCCUGUGCCAAG
Molecule: RNA transcript, 4785 nt
Organism: Triticum aestivum (bread wheat)
Lineage: Eukaryota; Viridiplantae; Streptophyta; Magnoliopsida; Poales; Poaceae
Gene name: pentatricopeptide repeat-containing protein At5g04780, mitochondrial
Exons: 3
Source: RefSeq, a predicted model, not a curated record